RNAcentral lists this ribosomal RNA (253 nucleotides) under uncultured bacterium. RNAcentral's name for it is "partial 16S ribosomal RNA". It matches the Rfam family "Bacterial small subunit ribosomal RNA", at positions 524 to 776 of the family's 1533-position model. The record is from RNAcentral.
UACGGAGGAUCCGAGCGUUAUCCGGAUUUAUUGGGUUUAAAGGGUGCGUAGGCGGCUCUAUAAGUCAGUGGUGAAAGGUACCCGCUUAACGGGGACACUGCCAUUGAUACUGUGGAGCUGGAGUACAGAUGAAGUGGGCGGAAUGUGUCAAGUAGCGGUGAAAUGCAUAGAUAUGACACAGAACACCAAUUGCGAAGGCAGCUCACUAAAGUGUCACUGACGCUGAGGCACGAAAGCGUGGGGAUCGAACAGG